GAGGGUACAGCUCAGUGGUAGAGCGCGUGCUUAGCAUGCACGAGGUCCUGGGUUCAAUCCCUAGUACCGCCA
RNAcentral lists this transfer RNA (72 nucleotides) under Camelus dromedarius (Arabian camel). It matches the Rfam family "tRNA". From Rfam's summary of the family: Transfer RNA (tRNA) molecules are approximately 80 nucleotides in length. Lineage: Eukaryota; Metazoa; Chordata; Mammalia; Artiodactyla; Camelidae. The record is from Rfam by way of RNAcentral. RNAcentral also lists the same sequence under 1 other name.